GCGCCAGUAGCCCAACGGAUUAGAGCAUCUGACUACGGAUCAGAAGGUUGCAGGUUCGAAUCCUGUCUGGCGCACC
This 76-nucleotide transfer RNA is filed under the name Scardovia inopinata. RNAcentral's name for it is "tRNA-Arg(acg)". It matches the Rfam family "tRNA". Rfam says of the family: Transfer RNA (tRNA) molecules are approximately 80 nucleotides in length. Their secondary structure includes four short double-helical elements and three loops (D, anti-codon, and T loops). Further hydrogen bonds mediate the characteristic L-shaped molecular structure. tRNAs have two regions of fundamental functional importance: the anti-codon, which is responsible for specific mRNA codon recognition, and the 3' end, to which the tRNAs corresponding amino acid is attached (by aminoacyl-tRNA synthetases). tRNAs cope with the degeneracy of the genetic code in two manners: having more than one tRNA (with a specific anti-codon) for a particular amino acid; and 'wobble' base-pairing, i.e. permitting non-standard base-pairing at the 3rd anti-codon position. Lineage: Bacteria; Bacillati; Actinomycetota; Actinomycetes; Bifidobacteriales; Bifidobacteriaceae. The record is from RNAcentral.